CUUGGUAGCCAGGCGCACCGCCCUGCUGAUAGUUUGUAUAGCCUUGCGGAUUUGGUGCAUGGGGCUGGUAGUUUGGAGGACCUGCAUUUGGUGGUGGAGGUGGAGGAACAUUACCCUGAGCAUGGUGCAUCGGAGGAGCAUCACGAGGCGGGACUGGGCCCUGACCUGGUGGGGGAGGGCUGUUGAAUCCCUGGCCAGGAGGCACAUCUCUGUUCUGGAAGUUCUGCAUGUUCUCCCUUCUCCUCUCAAAAUUCCUUGACCUGUCAAAGUUUCUAGGCCUAUCAUUGCGCCGGCUUCUUUCAUUGGCACGCGCAUUGUUUCUCACCCACUCCUCGUGGUACUUAGGGUCAUAAGGAACGGCUUCCCCAUUUAUAAAAGGUUCUCCUGCAAUAAAAGACAAGGUGUCAAAUACACACCAAAUGCUCAUAGAUCACAUCUCUAUGAUUCCAUCACAUGGAUAAAGACAUUACAAAACAGAUAAAAAUAACUAUGAACUCAUAAAACUCUGCUAGAUAUAAUUAUGAACUAAGCAACAAACAGCACACUAAAAAUAACAUAUGUAUUCAAAUUCUCAACCACAGAAGAUGGUAACUGCCACGGACAGUCCGCAAUCACUACCACUACCAUGACAUAUAUACAACUACAAACAGAAGGUCCAAGUUACCAUUUACUCCCUCAAAACUAGAUAACUAAAUAGAUAUUACUGACUCAAGUUUAUAAAGUUUGCUUGAACUAGUUGAUUUCACUGCGAUGACUACUGAUAAUCAAGCAAUCCAACUUAUCAGAUGGUCUAGGGAAGAAAUAGCAAACUAAAUUUCAAGAUAUCCUAGUACUAGGAGAUUUCACAGGAUACAGACUCCAAAUAAAAAGUUCAGUGGUAUGCUAGAAUACAAGGUGACACCAGAGCAAUCAGCAGAAGAGUUCCAUGGUAAAACAUAUACUUGACGCAGAAAAAACAUAACCUCUAUAAAACAAGAGCCAGAAAUUAUCAGUUCAAAGCAUUGCACAGGGACAUUAGAAUUAAUCAGUUUGAUCAUAAUAUGGCAUCAUACACAUAGAGAGCAAUUAUCACAGAGGAUCUAUAUAACUAACACGGAAAUGAUAUAAAAACAGUUCAGAAAAGAAAGUGAUGAUAUGUAAUUCAAUAGGAAGAGAAUGAACAUUUACCUCCGUAGUCCUUAUUUCUGACAUCCAGGUAUGAGUCUGGAAGAACCCAGCGGACCUUGGGCAACUCUGGCAAAAUAAUUUAAUAGCACAGCGUUAAAGCAAGAACACAAGUGACCCCCAUAAAACAUCCCCUACAAAGAAUUUCAUACAACCAUAAAUACCUUUGAGUUUGUAGGAGAGUUCCUCAGAUACAAGAGCUCCAAAAGCAAAGUAAUGCCGAGUUGACACUGAGUAGAUCUUAUGCCUUGCUUCUUCCUCACUGGAAGAAAGGACACAUUUGGUUAAAAAGAAUUAUGAGCAAUUUAUAUAAUGGCCAAUACCCAGGGCAUAUAUCAAGAAAAUAAAUGAAUAAACUAAGCAAAUAAAUUGUUAUACAGUAGGACUUACAUGAUGCGAUAAUUAAAGAGAAACCAGAAAAACUAGCACAUGCUACCAUGAAGAUGGACGCCUAAAUAUGUCAGUGGUUGACAGAAUUAAUAGAACACAAUCAAUUUUCAAAACAGGGCAUGAAGCAUGAUUAAAAAACAUCGUGUUGAUAACAGGAGGGCAUGACCUCCCUUCUAAUUUACAAAUCAUCCCCAUAGAAAUACCAAUUUAUUCCCCCAUAAUAACUAACUACAUGCAACACCAUGAGACCAGAUUAAUAUGGAAACCGUAGCGAAUCAAAAGAAAAUGACAAAUACAUGUGGAAUCUAUAAAUAAAAUCCCAGUCACAUUUGUGAAAAUAAAAUAAAAUAUGCAUCAACAGUACAGAAUACACUAUCACUGAAACAGGUAUUUAUCAGCCAAUCCACCACAGAUGAAGUUAACAAAUAAUACCAUGGAAAAACUUCACAUAUCACCUAACUAUAAAUAUCCCCAAAUCCACUUCCUCCGUCCCAUUUCCUCACCCCCAAUCACGACCCAAUCACGAACUAACAGAUUAAAUCGAGUGUUUCCACGAAAUCCCACGGAUGCGAGAUGCGCGUGAGAGGGAGAAGGGGGGGAGGAUCGUUCAAGACGGCCAUAUAUACCUCCCAACCACCUGUGCGAGGGUUUUGAUGUAGCCGUCGAUAAUCUCGUCGCGGGUGGGCUCCGGGUUGGAGGGAUCGCCGGGGGGCGGCUCCACGACGACCAGCCAGUGCUCGAAGUCG
RNAcentral lists this long non-coding RNA (2300 nucleotides) under Oryza sativa (Asian cultivated rice). RNAcentral's name for it is "long non-coding RNA (OSAT_LNC001696)". The record is from RNAcentral. Lineage: Eukaryota; Viridiplantae; Streptophyta; Magnoliopsida; Poales; Poaceae.